This is a long non-coding RNA of Mastomys coucha (southern multimammate mouse), 324 nucleotides long. RefSeq lists it as uncharacterized. The record is from RefSeq and is a predicted model, not a curated record. Lineage: Eukaryota; Metazoa; Chordata; Mammalia; Rodentia; Muridae. The transcript has 2 exons.
GGCCUUUCCUUCAGACUCUGCUCCACACUUUGUCUCCGUAUUUUCUUCUUUUCAGAGAAUGAGACCAUGACCAUCAUGGCCGGGAGAAGGACAACAGGCAACGCAGGAAUGAUGCUAGAGUUGUAGCUGAGAACUUACAUCCUGAUCAACAAUUAUGAAACAGGGAGACUAAUUGGAAAUGGUGUAUGCUUCUACCCAUAAAGCCCUCCCCCAGCAACAUACCUCCUUCAACAAGGCCACACCUCUUUAUCCUUCUCAAAUAUCUCCAUCAUCUGGGGGCCAAGCAUUAAAAUAUAUGAGUCUGUGGGGCCACUCUUACUUAAA